UACGUAGGGUGCGAGCGUUGUCCGGAAUUAUUGGGCGUAAAGAGCUUGUAGGCGGUUUGUCGCGUCUGCCGUGAAAAUUCGAGGCUCAACCUCGAACUUGCGGUGGGUACGGGCAGACUAGAGUGUGGUAGGGGAGACUGGAAUUCCUGGUGUAGCGGAGAAAUGCGCAGAUAUCUGGAGGAACACCGGUGGCGAAGGCGGCAUCCUGGACCGGCAUUGACGCUGAGGCGCGAAAGCCAGGGGAGCAAACGGG
Molecule: ribosomal RNA, 253 nt
Filed under: uncultured bacterium
Lineage: Bacteria
Description: partial 16S ribosomal RNA
Rfam family: Bacterial small subunit ribosomal RNA
Source: RNAcentral